This 497-nucleotide ribosomal RNA is filed under the name uncultured bacterium. RNAcentral's name for it is "partial 16S ribosomal RNA". It matches the Rfam family "Bacterial small subunit ribosomal RNA", at positions 28 to 507 of the family's 1533-position model. The record is from RNAcentral.
GAUGAACGCUGGCGGCGUGCCUAAUACAUGCAAGUCGAGCGAACGGACGAGAAGCUUGCUUCUCUGAUGUUAGCGGCGGACGGGUGAGUAACACGUGGAUAACCUACCUAUAAGACUGGGAUAACUUCGGGAAACCGGAGCUAAUACCGGAUAAUAUUUUGAACCGCAUGGUUCAAAAGUGAAAGACGGUCUUGCUGUCACUUAUAGAUGGAUCCGCGCUGCAUUAGCUAGUUGGUAAGGUAACGGCUUACCAAGGCAACGAUGCAUAGCCGACCUGAGAGGGUGAUCGGCCACACUGGAACUGAGACACGGUCCAGACUCCUACGGGAGGCAGCAGUAGGUAAUCUUCCGCAAUGGGCGAAAGCCUGACGGAGCAACGCCGCGUGAGUGAUGAAGGUCUUCGGAUCGUAAAACUCUGUUAUUAGGGAAGAACAUAUGUGUAAGUAACUGUGCACAUCUUGACGGUACCUAAACAGAAAGCCACGGCUAACUUCGUG